This 505-nucleotide ribosomal RNA is filed under the name uncultured bacterium. Its description in RNAcentral is "partial 16S ribosomal RNA". It matches the Rfam family "Bacterial small subunit ribosomal RNA", at positions 28 to 507 of the family's 1533-position model. The record is from RNAcentral.
GACGAACGCUGGCGGCGUGCCUAAUACAUGCAAGUAGAACGCACAGUUUAUACCGUAGCUUGGUACACCAUAGACUGUGAGUUGCGAACGGGUGAGUAACGCGUAGGUAACCUGCCUGGUAGCGGGGGAUAACUAUUGGAAACGAUAGCUAAUACCGCAUAAUAUUAAUUAUUGCAUGAUAAUUAAUUGAAAGGUGCAAUUGCACCACUACCAGAUGGACCUGCGUUGUAUUAGCUAGUAGGUGAGGUAACGGCUCACCUAGGCGACGAUACAUAGCCGACCUGAGAGGGUGAUCGGCCACACUGGGACUGAGACACGGCCCAGACUCCUACGGGAGGCAGCAGUAGGGAAUCUUCGGCAAUGGACGAAAGUCUGACCGAGCAACGCCGCGUGAGUGAAGAAGGUUUUCGGAUCGUAAAGCUCGGUUGUAAGAGAAGAACGGGUGUGAGAGUGGAAAGUUCACACUGUGACGGUAUCUUACCAGAAAGGGACGGCUAACUACGUG